This 484-nucleotide ribosomal RNA is filed under the name uncultured bacterium. RNAcentral's name for it is "partial 16S ribosomal RNA". It matches the Rfam family "Bacterial small subunit ribosomal RNA", at positions 30 to 507 of the family's 1533-position model. The record is from RNAcentral.
AUUGAACGCUGGCGGCAGGCCUAACACAUGCAAGUCGAGCGGAUGAAGGGAGCUUGCUCCUGGAUUCAGCGGCGGACGGGUGAGUAAUGCCUAGGAAUCUGCCUGGUAGUGGGGGAUAACGUCCGGAAACGGGCGCUAAUACCGCAUACGUCCUGAGGGAGAAAGUGGGGGAUCUUCGGACCUCACGCUAUCAGAUGAGCCUAGGUCGGAUUAGCUAGUUGGUGGGGUAAAGGCCUACCAAGGCGACGAUCCGUAACUGGUCUGAGAGGAUGAUCAGUCACACUGGAACUGAGACACGGUCCAGACUCCUACGGGAGGAAGCAGUGGGGAAUAUUGGACGAGGGGGGAAAGCCUGAUCCAGCCAUGCGGCGUGUGGGAAGAAGGUCUUCGGAUUGUAAAGCACUGUAAGUUGGGAGGAAGGGCAGUAAGUUAAUACCUGGCUGUUUUGACGUUACCAACAGAAUAAGCACCGGCUAACUUCGUG